GAUCCUGGCUCAGAUUGAACGCUGGCGGAAUGCUUUACACAUGCAAGUCGAGCGGCAGCGCGGGGGCAACCCUGGCGGCGAGCGGCGAACGGGUGAGUAACAUAUCGGAACGUACCCAGUCGUGGGGGAUAACUAUCCGAAAGGAUAGCUAAUACCGCAUACGACCUGAGGGUGAAAGCGGGGGACCGUAAGGCCUCGCGCGAUUGGAGCGGCCGAUAUCGGAUUAGCUAGUUGGUGAGGUAAAAGGCUCACCAAGGCGACGAUCCGUAGCUGGUCUGAGAGGACGACCAGCCACACUGGAACUGAGACACGGUCCAGACUCCUACGGGAGGCAGCAGUGGGGAAUUUUGGACAAUGGGGGCAACCCUGAUCCAGCCAUUCCGCGUGAGUGAAGAAGGCCUUCGGGUUGUAAAGCUCUUUCAGCAGGAACGAAACGGUGGUCCCUAAUACGGGCUACUAAUGACGGUACCUGAAGAAGAAGCACCGGCUAACUACGUGCCAGCAGCCGCGGGGUAAUAC
RNAcentral lists this ribosomal RNA (519 nucleotides) under uncultured bacterium. RNAcentral's name for it is "bacterial SSU rRNA". It matches the Rfam family "Bacterial small subunit ribosomal RNA", at positions 15 to 526 of the family's 1533-position model. The record is from RNAcentral.